GGACGAUUAGCUCAGCGGGAGAAGCGCUUCCCUGACACGGAAGAGGUCACUGGUUCAAUCCCAGUAUCGCGCA
RNAcentral lists this transfer RNA (73 nucleotides) under Streptomyces sp. CC71. RNAcentral describes it as "tRNA-Val". It matches the Rfam family "tRNA". Rfam says of the family: Transfer RNA (tRNA) molecules are approximately 80 nucleotides in length. Their secondary structure includes four short double-helical elements and three loops (D, anti-codon, and T loops). The record is from RNAcentral. Lineage: Bacteria; Bacillati; Actinomycetota; Actinomycetes; Kitasatosporales; Streptomycetaceae.